CGGGGGGGGCAAGCGUUGUUCGGAAUUACUGGGCGUAAAGGGCUUGUAGGCGGCCAACUAAGUCCGACGUGAAAUCCCCAGGCUUAACCUGGGAACUGCGUCGGAUACUGGAUGGCUUGAAUCCGGGAGAGGGAUGCGGAAUUCCAGGUGUAGCGGUGAAAUGCGUAGAUAUCUGGAGGAACACCGGUGGCGAAGGCGGCAUCCUGGACCGGCAUUGGCGCUGAAAAGCGAAAGCCAGGGGAGCAAACGGGAUUAGAUACCCCGGUAGUCCUGGCCCUAAACGAUGAAUGUUUGGUGUGGCGGGUAUCGAUCCCUGCCGUGCCGAAGCUAACGCAUUAAACAUUCCGCCUGGGGAGUACGGUCGCAAGGCUG
Molecule: ribosomal RNA, 372 nt
Filed under: uncultured organism
Description: bacterial SSU rRNA
Rfam family: Bacterial small subunit ribosomal RNA
Source: RNAcentral